AGUGAACGCUGGCGGUAGGCCUAACACAUGCAAGUCGAACGGCAGCACAGUAAGAGCUUGCUCUUACGGGUGGCGAGUGGCGGACGGGUGAGGAAUACAUCGGAAUCUACUUUUUCGUGGGGGAUAACGUAGGGAAACUUACGCUAAUACCGCAUAGGACCUACGGGUGAAAGCCGGGGAUCUUCGGACCUUGCGCGAUUGAAUGGGCCGAUGUCGGAUUAGCUAGUUGGCGGGGUAAAGGCCCACCAAGGCGACGAUCCGUAGCUGGUCUGAGAGGAUGAUCAGCCACACUGGAACUGAGACACGGUCCAGACUCCUACGGGAGGCAGCAGUGGGGAAUAUUGGACAAUGGGCGCAAGCCUGAUCCAGCCAUACCGCGUGGGUGAAGAAGGCCUUCGGGUUGUAAAGCCCUUUUGUUGGGAAAGAAAAGCAGCAGGUUAAUACCCCGCUGUUCUGACGGUACCCAAAGAAUAAGCACCGGCUAACUUCGUG
RNAcentral lists this ribosomal RNA (492 nucleotides) under uncultured bacterium. RNAcentral describes it as "partial 16S ribosomal RNA". It matches the Rfam family "Bacterial small subunit ribosomal RNA", at positions 29 to 507 of the family's 1533-position model. The record is from RNAcentral.